CCCUUGGAGUCCCUGGGUUUCAACUUGCAGUGGUGAUCAAAACAUUCAUUCCAAGUGACACUCCCAUCUGGGUGUGCGCUUUGUUUGGAGGUGCAAUUCCUUUGAAUUGCUCCUCGUAAUAGGUAAGCUUUUCUGGGACCUACCCAUUCUAUCUGUACAAUCAUAUUGGCAGAUUCCUUAUUCAGCAACUCUGAUGAUGAUAAACCUUGGAGAUCACAGAUGGUAAGAUGUAGCUUGAAACUUCUGCUCUCUGGUGUAUGAACGCCUGCACAAAACAUCUUGCAGAUGAGAAUUUCUUCUGGGUUAUGCCAUGUGACCAGGAAUAUCAAUCAUAUAUCACUGC
This 343-nucleotide long non-coding RNA is filed under the name Vitis vinifera (wine grape). Its description in RNAcentral is "long non-coding RNA (VVIN_LNC004066)". The record is from RNAcentral. Lineage: Eukaryota; Viridiplantae; Streptophyta; Magnoliopsida; Vitales; Vitaceae.